Arabis alpina (gray rockcress) is the source of this 100-nucleotide microRNA precursor. It matches the Rfam family "mir-395 microRNA precursor family". Rfam says of the family: mir-395 was identified in both Arabidopsis thaliana and Oryza sativa computationally and was later experimentally verified. mir-395 is thought to target mRNAs coding for ATP sulphurylases. The mature sequence is excised from the 3' arm of the hairpin. Lineage: Eukaryota; Viridiplantae; Streptophyta; Magnoliopsida; Brassicales; Brassicaceae. The record is from Rfam.
AUGUCUCCUAGAGCUCCUCUGAAUACUUCAUUGGGAAUACAAUUCUUUUUGUAAGAUAAUUAUUACCCACUGAAGUGUUUGGGGGAACUCCCGGACUCAU